This 776-nucleotide long non-coding RNA is filed under the name Ananas comosus (pineapple). RNAcentral's name for it is "long non-coding RNA (ACOM_LNC035288)". Lineage: Eukaryota; Viridiplantae; Streptophyta; Magnoliopsida; Poales; Bromeliaceae. The record is from RNAcentral.
CCUUUUGAUCAUUUCUAACAUUUGGAUUAAUACUAUUGAGGAUCAGUGGUAGUGUAUCGAUCCUUUACUUAAGUUCUGUGAGUACGAGAACGGGCUACUAUGUCACGCCCCGGGGUCGAUUUUAAAAUCUUUUUAUAACAAUUACUAUUUUAGAAACCAGAGUUGCGGAAAACGUGCCUUUUUUUUUUAUAAUUCAACCUGACCCACGUGACGUACAGACUCGCCACAAAUACAAAGUUCCUCUGACCACACGCACAGAGUCUCCUUUAUAUUUGCACGGAAUACCAACAACAACAUCAGAAUUACAACAAUAACUUACAUUCACCAAUCCACAAAAUAAUUCAUAUGAUGUAUUUCCAUACAGCUAGUGAUCCUUAGAAAUGAUGCAUGCCUCUAAACACUCCUUAGGCGCAAGAUGAUACGAUGCGCAAUACAACAGUUAUCCGAAUUAAAAGUGCUCCCCACCCGUAAGCUUUAUUUUUAAACUUUAUUUAAUCAUUCAUAAAAACCAUUCGAAAACCUUUUAAAACUGUUUCCCACUCAGAAACUCCAUUUUGAAAACCGGCUACCUCGAGAGGUAGAAAACCACGAUGCAUAAAUACAUAAAUCCAAGAACCAAUUAUUUAUAAAAUUCCGUUUGCAUGCAUAAUAGAAAAUCACCAACUCAAACAGGUUCACAAAUACUCAAACAGUAAUAAUAAUCAUCUAACUGAAUCAUUUAAUUAUUUAAAUUACUAAAUACGGAAAAUAAACAUAACCAGGGUGACGGUCGCUAC